UACGAAGGGGGCGAGCGUUGUUCGGAUUUACUGGGCGUAAAGGGCGCGCAGGCGGCUUUGUUUGUCAGGCGUGAAAGCCCCGGGCUUAACCUGGGAACUGCGUUUGAUACGGCAGGGCUAGAGUUCGGGAGAGGAGAGUGGAAUUCCCAGUGUAGAGGUGAAAUUCGUAGAUAUUGGGAAGAACACCGGUGGCGAAGGCGGCUCUCUGGACCGAUACUGACGCUGAGGCGCGAAAGCGUGGGGAGCGAACAGG
This 253-nucleotide ribosomal RNA is filed under the name uncultured bacterium. Its description in RNAcentral is "partial 16S ribosomal RNA". It matches the Rfam family "Bacterial small subunit ribosomal RNA", at positions 524 to 776 of the family's 1533-position model. The record is from RNAcentral.